RNAcentral lists this long non-coding RNA (549 nucleotides) under Brassica rapa (field mustard). Its description in RNAcentral is "long non-coding RNA (BRAP_LNC006499)". The record is from RNAcentral. Lineage: Eukaryota; Viridiplantae; Streptophyta; Magnoliopsida; Brassicales; Brassicaceae.
GAUUGGUAAAAAUACAAAGUUCCAUUAUUUUACCAUAUUACAGAGAUUUUUCCAUUUUAAAUUUCAAGUCGAAUAUCAAUGUCACGACUAAGUCAGACACUUAUUUGAAUAUAUAUAAAUGUGUUGAUGUUGUAAGCAUAGGAGCCCGGAGCCUCUCGAAGCUUUUUUACACACGUAAACUAAUUACAUUUCUCUUUUCCUUUUCAGUUCAUGGUAAAAUUGUAAAAUCUUCUAAUGGACUGUUUAAAAAAUAAUCUGAAUAAAGGGGGAAAAUAUUUAUUCUCUAAGAGGUCUCAGUGAAAACAACACUUUCAUGAUAACUUUGCUGUAAAGGAUGGUUUAAAUCACUAAUAAAAUUAUCAAGAAAACUAUUCGUCUAAAUGAAGUGACUAAUAUAGACAAAAAAUCGUUCAGCGAGAUAUCUUUUUUUUUUUUUUUUUUUGUGAAACUCGUUCAGCGAGAUAUCAUUUAUGAGUAUUUCGUCAUUAAAGUGACAUGAUAUGAGACGUGUUGGUGUUUUUAAAGAAGACACAUAUAUGCAAACAAAAA